CAAUAGCGUAUAUUAAAGUUGUUGCGGUUAAAAAGCUCGUAGUUGGAUUUCUGCUGAGGACGACCGGUCCGCCCUUCGGGUGAGUAUCUGGUUUGGCCUUGGCAUCUUCUUGGUGAACGUAUCUGCACUUGGCUGUGUGGUGCGGUACCCAGGACUUUUACUUUGAGGAAAUUAGGGUGUUUCAAGCAGGCAUACGCCUUGGAUACAUUAGCAUGGAAUAAUAAGAUAGGACCUCGGUUCUAUUUUGUUGGUUUCUAGAGCUGAGGUAAUGAUUAAUAGGGAUAGUUGGGGGCAUUCGUAUUUAACUGUCAGAGGUGAAAUUCUUGGAUCUGUUAAAGACGGACUACUGCGAAAGCAUUUGCCAAGGAUGUUUUCAUUG
Molecule: ribosomal RNA, 379 nt
Filed under: uncultured eukaryote
Lineage: Eukaryota
Description: partial 18S ribosomal RNA
Rfam family: Eukaryotic small subunit ribosomal RNA
Source: RNAcentral